RNAcentral lists this ribosomal RNA (673 nucleotides) under uncultured marine eukaryote. RNAcentral's name for it is "SSU rRNA". It matches the Rfam family "Eukaryotic small subunit ribosomal RNA", at positions 618 to 1299 of the family's 1831-position model. The record is from RNAcentral.
GUUAAAAAGCUCGUAGUUGGAUUUCGGUUAAGAGCGACCGGUCCGCCGUUUGGUGUGCACUGGUUGGUUUUAACUUCCUGUAGAGGACGUGCUCUGGGCUUAACGGUCUGGACUCGGAGUCUACGUGGUUACUUUGAAAAGAUUAGAGUGUUCAAAGCGGGCUUACGCUUGAAUAUUUCAGCAUGGAAUAACACUAUAGGACUCCUGUCCUAUUUCGUUGGUCUCGGGACGGGAGUAAUGUUUAAGAGGAACAGUUGGGGGCAUUCGUAUUUCAUUGUCAGAGGUGAAAUUCUUGGAUUUAUGAAAGACGAACUCCUGCGAAAGCAUUUGCCAAGGAUGUUUUCAUUAAUCAAGAACGAAAGUUGGGGGCUCGAAGAUGAUUAGAUACCAUCCUAGUCUCAACCAUAAACGAUGCCGACUAGGGAUUGGCGGAUGUUAAUUGAUGACUCCGCCAGCACCUUAUGAGAAAUCAAAGUUUUUGGGUUCCGGGGGGAGUAUGGUCGCAAGGCUGAAACUUAAAGGAAUUGACGGAAGGGCACCACCAGGAGUGGAGCCUGCGGCUUAAUUUGAUUCAACCACGGGGAAACUUACCAGGUCCAAGCAUAUUGAGGAUUGACAGUUUAAUAGCCCUUUUCUUAAUUAUGUGGGUGGUGGUGCAUGGCCGUUCUUAGUG